Molecule: ribosomal RNA, 492 nt
Filed under: uncultured bacterium
Lineage: Bacteria
Description: partial 16S ribosomal RNA
Rfam family: Bacterial small subunit ribosomal RNA
Source: RNAcentral
AGUGAACGCUGGCGGUAGGCCUAACACAUGCAAGUCGAACGGUAGCACAGUAAGAGCUUGCUCUUACGGGUGGCGAGUGGCGGACGGGUGAGGAAUACAUCGGAAUCUACUUUUUCGUGGGGGAUAACGUAGGGAAACUUACGCUAAUACCGCAUACGACCUACGGGUGAAAGCAGGGGAUCUUCGGACCUUGCGCGAUUGAAUGAGCCGAUGUCGGAUUAGCUAGUUGGCGGGGUAAAGGCCCACCAAGGCGACGAUCCGUAGCUGGUCUGAGAGGAUGAUCAGCCACACUGGAACUGAGACACGGUCCAGACUCCUACGGGAGGCAGCAGUGGGGAAUAUUGGACAAUGGGCGCAAGCCUGAUCCAGCCAUACCGCGUGGGUGAAGAAGGCCUUCGGGUUGUAAAGCCCUUUUGUUGGGAAAGAAAAGCAGCAGGUUAAUACCCCGCUGUUCUGACGGUACCCAAAGAAUAAGUACCGGCUAACUUCGUG